AGACCUGGAAGCUUGAUCAUUAUGGAAGAUGAUAUAUGGGAGGCAUGUAUCAGAUUUAGUUCCAGACAAGGACCAGUGUUAGAGGAGAACAUCAGUUGACUACAAAUAAAACACUUCUGGUGUACAGAAAGUAAAGAUGACACAGAACGUAGGCACCCACAGGCGUGAGUUUGACAAGACCUGGCAUAUGGAUCUCAGACAUAGUCAUGACUGAAGGAUGAUACCAUUCUUUUUUGAACUCUUGAUCAUCCACGCUGCUGCUACUUGUAUAG
This is a long non-coding RNA of Hyaena hyaena (striped hyena), 272 nucleotides long. RefSeq lists it as uncharacterized. Lineage: Eukaryota; Metazoa; Chordata; Mammalia; Carnivora; Hyaenidae. The record is from RefSeq and is a predicted model, not a curated record. The transcript is spliced from 3 exons.